UUUCUCCUCCCUCCGUCCAACAAAGAAUGUCUCAAUUUUGACUAAAUUUGAAUGCAUCUAUACAAUAAGUCAUGUCUAGAUACAUCCAAAUUUUGACAACUUGAGCUAUCUUUUGUUGGACGGAGGUAGUAUAUA
Brachypodium distachyon (stiff brome) is the source of this 135-nucleotide non-coding RNA. NCBI's taxonomy places the organism in Eukaryota, Viridiplantae, Streptophyta, Magnoliopsida, Poales, Poaceae. The record is from Rfam.